UGCAAGUCGAACGCGCUGUGGCANUUGUUGGNAAGCUUGCUUCAAUUGAAUUGAAAUGGAGCGAGUGGCGAACGGGUGAGUAACACGUGGGAAACCUACCUCUUAGCAGGGGAUAACAUUUGGAAACAGAUGCUAAUACCGUAUAACAACUUUUAUCNNAUGAUAAAAGUUUAAAAGAUGGUUCUGCUCUCACUAAUAGAUGGUCCCGCGGGGUAUUGGCUAGAUGGAGAGGUAAUGGCUCACCAUGGCGAUGAUACAUAGCCNANUUGAGAGACUGAUCGGCCACAUUGGAACUGANACACGGNCCAAACUCCUACGGGAGGCAGCNNUNNGGAAUCUUCCACAAUGGACGAAAGUCUGAUGGAGCAACGCCNCGUGUGUGAUGAAGGGUUUCGGCUCGNNAAACACUGUUAUAAGAGAAGAACGUCAGUGAGAGUAACUGUUCAUUGAGUGACGGUAUCUUAUCANAAAGGGACGGCUAAAUAC
This 486-nucleotide ribosomal RNA is filed under the name uncultured bacterium. RNAcentral describes it as "partial 16S rRNA". It matches the Rfam family "Bacterial small subunit ribosomal RNA", at positions 56 to 504 of the family's 1533-position model. The record is from RNAcentral.